RNAcentral lists this ribosomal RNA (301 nucleotides) under uncultured bacterium. RNAcentral's name for it is "partial 16S ribosomal RNA". It matches the Rfam family "Bacterial small subunit ribosomal RNA", at positions 509 to 807 of the family's 1533-position model. The record is from RNAcentral.
CAGCAGCCGCGGUAAUACAGAGGGUGCAAGCGUUAAUCGGAAUUACUGGGCGUAAAGCGCGCGUAGGUGGUUUGUUAAGUUGGAUGUGAAAGCCCCGGGCUCAACCUGGGAACUGCAUCCAAAACUGGCAAGCUAGAGUACGGUAGAGGGUGGUGGAAUUUCCUGUGUAGCGGUGAAAUGCGUAGAUAUAGGAAGGAACACCAGUGGCGAAGGCGACCACCUGGACUGAUACUGACACUGAGGUGCGAAAGUGUGGGGAGCAAACAGGAUUAGAUACCCCCGUAGUCCCUGUCUCUUAUAC